CCGUCUCGUGGGCCAGCGGCAGCAGGCCCAUGCGCAGGGCCUCCUGCCGGGCCUGUUCGAUCCGGGUGGGGUGGCC
This 76-nucleotide transfer RNA is filed under the name Streptomyces avidinii. RNAcentral's name for it is "tRNA-Arg(gcg)". Lineage: Bacteria; Bacillati; Actinomycetota; Actinomycetes; Kitasatosporales; Streptomycetaceae. The record is from RNAcentral.